AUACGGAGGAUCCGAGCGUUAUCCGGAUUUAUUGGGUUUAAAGGGUGCGCAGGCGGCCAUUUAAGUCAGCGGUUAAAUCGUGGGGCUCAACCCCAUUCUGCCGUUGAUACUGGGUGGCUUGAUUGCGGUCGAGGUUGGCGGAAUUCGUUGUGUAGCGGUGAAAUGCAUAGAUAUGACGAAGAACACCGAUUGCGUAGGCAGCUGACCAGACCGCAAAUGACGCUCAUGCACGAAAGUGCGGGGAUCGAACAGGAUUAGAUACCCUGGUAAUCCGCACAGUAAACGAUGAAUACUUGUUUUCGGCGAUAUAAUGUCGGAGGCAAAGCGAAAGCGAUAAGUAUUCCACCUGGGGAGUACGCCGGCAACGGUGAAACUCAAAGGAAUUGACGGGG
This 392-nucleotide ribosomal RNA is filed under the name uncultured bacterium. RNAcentral's name for it is "partial 16S ribosomal RNA". It matches the Rfam family "Bacterial small subunit ribosomal RNA", at positions 523 to 918 of the family's 1533-position model. The record is from RNAcentral.